This 497-nucleotide ribosomal RNA is filed under the name uncultured bacterium. RNAcentral describes it as "partial 16S ribosomal RNA". It matches the Rfam family "Bacterial small subunit ribosomal RNA", at positions 28 to 507 of the family's 1533-position model. The record is from RNAcentral.
GAUGAACGCUGGCGGCGUGCCUAAUACAUGCAAGUCGAGCGAACAGACGAGGAGCUUGCUCCUCUGACGUUAGCGGCGGACGGGUGAGUAACACGUGGAUAACCUACCUAUAAUACUGGGAUAACUUCGGGAAACCGGAGCUAAUACCGGAUAAUAUAUUGUACCGCAUGGUUCAAUAGUGAAAGACGGUUUUGCUGUCACUUAUAGAUGGAUCCGCGCCGCAUUAGCUAGUUGGUAAGGUAACGGCUUACCAAGGCAACGAUGCGUAGCCGACCUGAGAGGGUGAUCGGCCACACUGGAACUGAGACACGGUCCAGACUCCUACGGGAGGCAGCAGUAGGGAAUCUUCCGCAAUGGGCGAAAGCUUGACGGAGCAACGCCGCGUGAGUGAUGAAGGUCUUCGGAUCGUAAAACUCUGUUAUUAGGGAAGAACAAAUGUGUAAGUAACUAUGCACGUCUUGACGGUACCUAAUCAGAAAGCCACGGCUAACUACGUG